RNAcentral lists this ribosomal RNA (807 nucleotides) under uncultured Pelagibacteraceae bacterium. RNAcentral's name for it is "bacterial SSU rRNA". It matches the Rfam family "Bacterial small subunit ribosomal RNA", at positions 33 to 888 of the family's 1533-position model. Lineage: Bacteria; Pseudomonadati; Pseudomonadota; Alphaproteobacteria; Candidatus Pelagibacterales; Candidatus Pelagibacteraceae. The record is from RNAcentral.
ACGCUGGCGGCACGCCUAACACAUGCAAGUCGAACGAAGUAGCAAUACUUAGUGGCAGACGGGUGAGUAACAUGUGGGUAUCUGCCCUUUGGCCUGGAAUAACACGAGGAAACUUGUGCUAAUACCGGAUAAGUCUUUACGGAGAAAGCUUUAUGCACCAUUGGAUGAGCCCGCACUUGAUUAGUUUGUUGGUGGGGUAAUGGCCUACCAAGACUGUGAUCAAUAGCUGAUUUGAGAGGAUGAUCAGCCACAUUGGGACUGAGACACGGCCCAAACUCCUACGGGAGGCAGCAGUGGGGAAUCUUGCACAAUGGAGGAAACUCUGAUGCAGCGAUGCCGCGUGAGUGAAGAAGGCCUUUGGGUUGUAAAGCUCUUUCGUCGGGGAAGAAAAUGACUGUACCCGAAUAAGAAGGUCCGGCUAACUUCGUGCCAGCAGCCGCGGUAAUACGAAGGGACCUAGCGUAGUUCGGAAUUACUGGGCUUAAAGAGUUCGUAGGUGGUUGAAAAAGUUGGUGGUGAAAUCCCAGAGCUUAACUCUGGAACUGCCAUCAAAACUUUUCAGCUAGAGUAUGAUAGAGGAAAGCAGAAUUUCUAGUGUAGAGGUGAAAUUCGUAGAUAUUAGAAAGAAUACCAAUUGCGAAGGCAGCUUUCUGGAUCAUUACUGACACUGAGGAACGAAAGCAUGGGUAGCGAAGAGGAUUAGAUACCCUCGUAGUCCAUGCCGUAAACGAUGUGUGUUAGACGUUGGAAAUUUAUUUUCAGUGUCGCAGCGAAAGCGAUAAACACACCGCCUGGGGAGUACGACCG